This 72-nucleotide transfer RNA is filed under the name Salmo salar (Atlantic salmon). It matches the Rfam family "tRNA". From Rfam's summary of the family: Transfer RNA (tRNA) molecules are approximately 80 nucleotides in length. Their secondary structure includes four short double-helical elements and three loops (D, anti-codon, and T loops). Lineage: Eukaryota; Metazoa; Chordata; Actinopteri; Salmoniformes; Salmonidae. The record is from Rfam by way of RNAcentral.
UCCCGUUUAGCUCAGUUGGUAGAGCAUGGUGUUUGCAACGCCAGGGUUGUGGGUUCGAUUCCCACGGGGGAC